Molecule: transfer RNA, 72 nt
Filed under: Bos taurus (domestic cattle)
Lineage: Eukaryota; Metazoa; Chordata; Mammalia; Artiodactyla; Bovidae
Also listed under: 4 other names
Rfam family: tRNA
About the family: Transfer RNA (tRNA) molecules are approximately 80 nucleotides in length. Their secondary structure includes four short double-helical elements and three loops (D, anti-codon, and T loops).
Source: Rfam by way of RNAcentral
UCCCUGGUGGUCCAAUGGUUAGGGCUUGGUGCUUUUACUACCAGGAUUCAGGUUCAAGCCCUGGUCAGGGAA